Molecule: long non-coding RNA, 1765 nt
Filed under: Homo sapiens (human)
Lineage: Eukaryota; Metazoa; Chordata; Mammalia; Primates; Hominidae
Description: HSALNT0331868
Source: RNAcentral
CAUUGACAACUCGCGGGGAUUGUUUUCCACACCGUGGAAGCUUUGUUCUUUUCGUUUUUUGCAAUAAAUCUUGUUGCUGCUCGCUUUUUGGGUCCACAUUGCUUUUAUGAGCUGUACCACUCACCGUGAAGAUCUGCAGCUUCACUUCAGAGCCUAGCGAGACCACAAGCUCACUGAGAGGAACAAACAACUCCAGACGCGCUGUCUUAAGAGCUAUAACACUCACCGCGAAGGUGUGCAGUUUCACUCCUGAGCUAGUGAGACUACGAAGCCACUGGAACGAAGAAACUCCAACCACGUUUGAACAUCAGAAGGGGCAGACUCCAGACGCUUCAUCUUAAGAGCUGUAACACUCACUGUGAAGGUCUGCAGCUUCACUCCUGAGCCAGCGAGACCACGAACCGAUCUGAACAUCAGAAGGGACAGACUCCAGAUGCCCCACCUUAAGAGCUGUAAUACUCACUGCAAGGGUCUGCAGCUUCAUUCUUGAAGUCAGACCAAGAACCCAGCAAUUCCCAACACACAGGGACCAGCUUCUUUCCUAACUCACUUAGGCUCUUCGUGCUGCUCUGGCAACUAACACCCUUGGCUGCAGGGGCUUGGACACUACCCUUAGUCACUGACAAUUGUGUGAAGGCUGCUGUCGUUAACUUCACUUGAUCACCUUAGGCUCCUGUGAAGUGGUGAGCAAUUCAAACAAAUUCCUGUCGUCAAAUCAUAUGGAGAAAUUGCACUGCAGAGAAAUCUUUAAAAGCAAUUACCUAAUACUGCAGAUUGCUGAACUGUACCCACACCCAAGACUGAGCAUUGGAUCAAUCCAGAAUAUACAUCAGGUGUUCUGCAAUGUCUGCCUAAAACCAUGACUCUGCCUCCUCCAGCUGUUGCUACAUCUCACUAUGGGUUUCCUGUGACAUUUUGAGCAAGUAUGCCUCUGUGACUGGGGUUCUUACACUCCAGAAUGGAUGAGAAGCACCGUAAGUGGCUUUUAAAAUGAAUAUUCCCUGGCCCUUCAGUCGCUCUAUAGGUCAAGAAUCUGAAUUCUCAACCUGUCUAGAAGGUUCUGGUUUUAAUGGUCUGUGGGCUGCACAUUGAGAAACCUGUUCAGCGAGUGCAACAAAGGUUCCACAUGUGAGAAAGGAAGCAUCAGGUCUCUUGAGCCUGUUCUUUAAUCUGUAGGCUGCACCUUCUCUUUAAAUUCUGCUAAUAACACCAUGCGAGAAAACACCCGAGCUUGAAAAGCCCAUGUUCCAACAUAACUGUCCUUCACCACUCUGGAAAAUUAAUGGUUUGUUUCGAUUAUCCCUUUGUUAAACUCCAAAGUCAAAGAGCUCUGAAAGGCAUACGGUUAUUUUAAGUUUCAGGUGAUUUCUGUUGCCAAAUAUUUUAAAAAUUUAAAAUUGCUACGUGACCUCUUAGUAGUACUAUUAGAUUUCCUGACAAUAAAAAUAAGUCUUUUGGUUUCACCAUUUAUAGUUAGUACAGCUAAUAUUAAGUAUAAUUUUAAAAGCCUUUUAUUUUCUCAGAAAGAAAAAAUAAUCAAAAUCUGCUCAGUGUGGUAUUGAAUAAUUAAAAACAAAAGAACAGUAUCUUCACAUUAGUGUUUAAUAUUAAUUGCUUUUUUACCCUUGACACUGGUGCUAAUUAAAUUUUCAUUUUAUUUUCCAUGACUUGUUUAAACAGUUUUUGCAAAUUAUUGCUAAUCAGCCUAAUAAAACUGAAUCACCUAUUAAACAAUUUUGUUUUGAAUUAAAUGGCAUUAAAAUAA